This 253-nucleotide ribosomal RNA is filed under the name uncultured bacterium. RNAcentral describes it as "partial 16S ribosomal RNA". It matches the Rfam family "Bacterial small subunit ribosomal RNA", at positions 524 to 776 of the family's 1533-position model. The record is from RNAcentral.
UACGUAGGGUGCGAGCGUUGUCCGGAAUUAUUGGGCGUAAAGAGCUCGUAGGCGGUCUGUCGCGUCUGCUGUGAAAUCCCGAGGCUCAACCUCGGGCCUGCAGUGGGUACGGGCAGACUAGAGUGCGGUAGGGGAGAUUGGAAUUCCUGGUGUAGCGGUGGAAUGCGCAGAUAUCAGGAGGAACACCGAUGGCGAAGGCAGAUCUCUGGGCCGUAACUGACGCUGAGGAGCGAAAGCAUGGGGAGCGAACAGG